AUCCUUUUUGAUAAGAGUCUGUAAAAGGAACCUCAUUCCAAAUGGGAAUCUGCUGGUAAUUUCUUUACUACAAGAAAAAGGGAACUCGAGAUAGGACCAUAUCCUUCAAGGACUUGGUUUUAGGGUCAGCCAGUCACUCCUGUAGUCAGAGGACCGGCAAGUAUGGCUUGGACACACUGAAUCAGGUCGAUGCCCAGCAGCCUUUCAAUGAAAGUGAUGAUCAGUACUGGGGCAAUGAUGAAAAUGGAAGUGGUGUGAAUUUAUUUCAACCAAC
Molecule: long non-coding RNA, 274 nt
Filed under: Monodelphis domestica (gray short-tailed opossum)
Lineage: Eukaryota; Metazoa; Chordata; Mammalia; Didelphimorphia; Didelphidae
Description: lncRNA (ENSMODG00000049483.1)
Source: RNAcentral